CGGCUACACUGACAGAGCCAGCGAGUUUUUUUCCUUGGCCGGAAGGUCUGGGUAAUCUUGUGAAACUCUGUCGUGCUGGGGAUAGAGCAUUGCAAUUAUUGCUCUUCAACGAGGAAUUCCUAGUAAGCGUGAGUCAUCAGCUCGCGUUGAUUACNUCCCUGCCCUUUGUACACACCGCCCGUCGUUACUACCGAUUGAAUGGCUUAGUGAGGUCUUGGGAUCGGCUUCGGGGAGUCGGCAACGACACCCUGUCNUGAAAACUUGAUCAAACUUGGUCAUUUANAGGAAGUACAAGUCGUAACAAGGUUUCCGUAGGUGAACCUGCGGAAGGAUCAUUA
This 338-nucleotide ribosomal RNA is filed under the name Picipes tubaeformis. Its description in RNAcentral is "SSU rRNA". It matches the Rfam family "Eukaryotic small subunit ribosomal RNA", at positions 1495 to 1831 of the family's 1831-position model. Lineage: Eukaryota; Fungi; Basidiomycota; Agaricomycetes; Polyporales; Polyporaceae. The record is from RNAcentral.